GAUCAAAUCAAGCGCGAUAAGGGCGUUUGGUGGAUGCCUUGGCAGCAAGAGGCGAUGAAGGACGUGAUACUCUGCGUUAAGCCAUGGGGAGCUGAGAAUAAGCUUUGAUCCAUGGAUCUCCGAAUGGGGCAACCCACCUGACAGUUUGUUAUUGUUAUCCUCGGGUAAUCAAUAACGGGCUGAACCAGGUACUAAUCACCUGAAUACAUAGGGUUUUUAGAGCGAACCCGGGGAACUGAAACAUCUAAGUACCCGGAGGAAAGGAAAUCAACAGAUACUCCCCCAGUAGCGGCGAGCGAACGGGGACCAGCCGAGCCAUGAGAAUGACCAGAAUGUGUUGGAAAACACAGCCAUAGCGGGUGACAGCCCCGUAUGGGAAGUUCGAUUGGACGUAUUAAGUAGGGCGGGACACGUGAAAUCCUGUCUGAAGAUCGGGGGACCACCCUCGAAGGCUAAGUACUCCUUGCUGACCGAUAGCGAACCAGUACCGUG
RNAcentral lists this ribosomal RNA (492 nucleotides) under Paracoccus denitrificans. Its description in RNAcentral is "partial 23S ribosomal RNA". It matches the Rfam family "Bacterial large subunit ribosomal RNA", at positions 1 to 505 of the family's 2925-position model. Lineage: Bacteria; Pseudomonadati; Pseudomonadota; Alphaproteobacteria; Rhodobacterales; Paracoccaceae. The record is from RNAcentral.